This is a long non-coding RNA of Leptopilina boulardi, 681 nucleotides long. RefSeq lists it as uncharacterized. Lineage: Eukaryota; Metazoa; Arthropoda; Insecta; Hymenoptera; Figitidae. The record is from RefSeq and is a predicted model, not a curated record. The transcript is spliced from 2 exons.
GCGCUUGCCAGAAGAAGUACUGACGGCAGUGGUAGCAGAAGCAAAGGAGACCGGAUGUAGGUUGGUGCAGUGAUUCCACUGAUUCGUUUCAAGAGUGCCCGUGGCUUCCAGCGAACUUCCGAGUGCCGUGUUCGUUGUAGGCCUGUAACUCCCGCGUGUGCUGCAAGCCAUCCUCUUUUGUCACUUACAAUCGUGAUUGAUAUAUACAUAUAAUUUUUUUUUUUUUUUUACAAAUUUUUUCCACAAUUGUUUCUUUUUUUUUUUAAAUAAUAUUUUGUGCGAGUCAAAAAAAAAACUAUAUUUCGGAAAAAAGUUUGUUUAUUCUCAUACGCGCAAAGAGAGCGACAAUUUCCGGAAAAUGAUUUUUCGCCUUCCGGAUUUAACAGUUACAACAUAAACAAAAUACAAACAAAAGGAUAAUUUUGGGAAAAAAGACAAGCCAAUCAACGGCGAAAAUCAGAAAAAUGUUGGAACCAACAAAACAAGUGGAAGUCUUCACCGGAAAUGGUUGAUUCAUUACAAAAAGAAAAAAAUGGCACAGUGGGAAAUGUGAUAAUUUGAAAAAAAACAAUAAAAAUUCAAUAUCGACAAUUUUUUUUUUUUUUAUUAACAUGAUGGAUAAAUUUCCAUAAUAGAAAUCUCAACAAACAAAAAAAAAAAAAAAAAAAAAAAAAAAAACAA